RNAcentral lists this small RNA (28 nucleotides) under Bombyx mori (domestic silkworm). RNAcentral's name for it is "ovarian small RNA-33234". The record is from RNAcentral. Lineage: Eukaryota; Metazoa; Arthropoda; Insecta; Lepidoptera; Bombycidae.
UGCAAAAUAGAGGGAUUACGACUGAUUA